UGGGAAUUGAAUUCGGGACCUCUGGAAG
Molecule: non-coding RNA, 28 nt
Filed under: Mus musculus (house mouse)
Lineage: Eukaryota; Metazoa; Chordata; Mammalia; Rodentia; Muridae
Source: RNAcentral